RNAcentral lists this long non-coding RNA (258 nucleotides) under Nicotiana benthamiana. RNAcentral's name for it is "long non-coding RNA (NBEN_LNC013323)". The record is from RNAcentral. Lineage: Eukaryota; Viridiplantae; Streptophyta; Magnoliopsida; Solanales; Solanaceae.
CAUCAUCUUCCUCAAUUAUUCCAUUUUUAGCAGCACACACACAUCUAUGCCCAUGAUUUGUGCACAUUGUGCCCAAUUCAUCCCACAAGCCUUUAAGCUUGUUAAAGUAUGAGGCUAUGUCUAAGGAGCCUUGAGAUGUGUGGGAGGGUUCCCUUUUUAAUUCAAAAAUAUUGGUCUUGUUAGGGGUACCAUAUCUUUCUCAAUUUGGGACCAUAUACUCUGUGCAGUAUCAGAAUACUGCACACUAUCAGCAAUUUG